CCUACGGGAGGCAGCAGUGAGGAAUAUUGGUCAAUGGACGAGAGUCUGAACCAGCCAAGUAGCGUGAAGGAUGACUGCCCUAUGGGUUGUAAACUUCUUUUAUAUGGGAAUAAAAUGUUCCACGUGUGGGAUUUUGUAUGUACCAUAUGAAUAAGGAUCGGCUAACUCCGUGCCAGCAGCCGCGGUAAUACGGAGGAUCCGAGCGUUAUCCGGAUUUAUUGGGUUUAAAGGGAGCGUAGGUGGAUUGUUAAGUCAGUUGUGAAAGUUUGCGGCUCAACCGUAAAAUUGCAGUUGAAACUGGCAGUCUUGAGGACAGUAGAGGUGGGCGGAAUUCGUGGUGUAGCGGUGAAAGGCUUAGAUAUCACGAAGAACUCCGAUUGCGAAGGCAGCUCACUGGACUGCAACUGACACUGAGGCUCGAAAGUGUGGGUAUCAAACAGGAUUAGAUACCCGAGUAGUC
This 460-nucleotide ribosomal RNA is filed under the name uncultured bacterium. Its description in RNAcentral is "partial 16S ribosomal RNA". It matches the Rfam family "Bacterial small subunit ribosomal RNA", at positions 338 to 795 of the family's 1533-position model. The record is from RNAcentral.